CCAGGCUCAGCGGGGGAUGGGGGCGUCUCCUCCCUCGCUCCCUCCCUCCGUCGGGCCGGGUCCCCUCACCCGUGGCGGCUGCUACGUUGGCCGCGCUCCAGCGAGAUGAGGUAGGCGGCGAGCUUGGCGUCGCUCCAGCCGCUGCGGCGCCGCAGGUCCACCCAGGGCCCGUGCGCCUCGCCCAGGUACACGCGCCGCACGUCGUACUUCUUCCGGGACUCGAGCCGCCGCCGGGCCCGGUCCGACUCCGUGAGCCGCGGGCGGCCCCGCGCCUUGCGGCCCGCCGCGCCCUCCUCGGCGGCUACCUCCCCGCCCGCUCCCGCCUCAGCCUCCGCCUCCGCCUCGGGCUCCGGCGCCCGCUCCGCCAUCCCCCCCUCCCUGGUUACCAGCCUCCCCCGUUGUUAGGAGCCCGGCCGGAAGUGGCGCGCAUGUUCCGCGCCGACGGGAAAUUUCUCAUGGACUCUCACUGCCUCGCGGCGCCAAAAGAAGAUCGAGAGCGGAAGCUGCGCAUGCGCGCAAUAAGCGCCAGCAACAACCCACUCUCCCCUUACUCCCUUCUCUGUUAAACUUUCUGAGUAGGCAGAGACGGAAGGGGUAGCUGAAGGUUUGAGGCUGAUCCGGGAAGAAAGAGCCAGGAGAGCCCGUAGACCCUGGGAUGAUGGGGGCUUCUUCCUCCGCACCUUUAUCCUGAAUGCAUUGUGGGGAUGACAAGGGAAGGGUGGGAGCUGUCUAGGAAAGGCAGACGGAAGGCCAGCGGCUCGACCCGUCAGUUCUGGAUGAUGUCUCCAUCACUUGAAAAGACGUGACACCAGGCAUUAAAGGGGCAGGGACGCUACACUGCCAGAGAGGAGGCAAGACAGCCCCAAGCCGGAAAACUUUUAUUUGCUGUACACUAAAAGGAAAUCCUUCUGACUCCCACCUGAGGCUGAGUUGUGUGCUCCUCCGCUGGGACCGGGCCUGUCCUGGUCAUGCCCAGUAGCCAGCACAGAGGUGCUCCGUAAGUGUUUGAAGGAGGAAAUGACUGAGGGCUGACAGGUCUGGAGCCCCUGAGUGGACCUUACCUAUGAUGUGGGGCUCCGUGGGAUCCGUGGCAUCUCUGGAGUCUUUGGACAAAGGCAUCUGCAAGGAAAGUCGGGGUGGAAGCUUGUGGCCCCCACAGCCCCUAUGGAGGAGCCCGGGAGAGAGAAAUGGGGAUUCCAGUGAAUUCAGGGCCCCUCUUGGGUCUGUCUACUGGGCCUCCCACAAUCACUCGAGCCCACCGCCUUCUUGCUUCUAUCUAACUGGGACAGCGAUCCCGCACUCCUGCUGCCGUGGGUAGUGGAGGAAGAUGCUGUGGAAGAUGUUGCGAGGCCGGAAGACCUCCUUGGGGAAGAUGUCGAGCAGCAGGUUGUAGACGGCCAGGUCCCGCUCGACGCCGUACUCCCGCAUCUUGCGCAGGGCCAGGUAGAUGAAGUCAACGUGGCCCCGCUUGUGCACGUUGUACUGCGUAAAGUUCUGCACCGCCUGCACGAAGCUCGCCUUGUCCCGCACCCCAUCUGGCGCCUGCCUAAACAGGUCCACGUGGGGUGCCAGGGCCUUGACCGGCCCCCUCGGGGGUUCGGGUGGGCGUGGGACCAGCGACGAAUCAGGGUUGUGGGCGGCUGUGCUGCAGUGGAGGCCCCGCGGGGCCUGGGGCGGCCCCUGCGGAUAGAGAACCACUGCUGGAAUGUGGGUCUCCCAGUGCCCCUGGGGGACUGCCGUGCUGGGUCUCUGCUGGGAAAGGUGCCAGCAGGCAUCCCUAAGGGCCUCUGAAGAAGUGUGGUGCGCUGGUUACAGACCCAUGAUCAGACACCAUCACAAAGUGUGAGAGAGCAAUGGUAACGCCCCGACGGACACAAUGUCCACCACGAUGACAAACGUACACCCUCUGACGCAGCAAUCCUGCAUCUGGUAUUUAACUCGGAUAGCUCUAAAAGCACCUGCACCAAAUGACUUUUGUGCGUCUGCUGCGUCAGUGGAAAUGGCGCAUAUGUGCAUCGGCAAGGAAAUAAUUUAGCAAAUGGCCAAGAACCUGGACAAGGAGCACCUACCGCUGUAAGGCACACUGAGGAGGUCUUGUGUGACCUGGAGUGAGCUCCAAGGUAUAUCAUUAAAUGAAAAAAAAGCAAGGUGUGAAACGGUGUGUACAGUAGCUUCCCAUUUGUGUAAAAAAAAAAGAAAACAACAACAGCUUAUACAUAGUUGGUCCUCAUUAUUUGCGAAUUCCAUGUUUGCAAAUUUGCCUACUUGCUAAAAUUCAUUUAUGCUCCCAAAGCCAAUACUCUUCGCACUUUCUGGCCAUUUGCAGACACGUGCAGGGGGCUGGAAAGUUGAGUUGCCCAGCGCCUAUAUUCCCAGCUGAGAUGGAACAAGGCAAUGCUCGCCCUUCUUGUAUUGGCUCCCAUGCUGUCAACAAGUGUCCUUUUAUUUUAUAUUAUUUUUUUAAAUUUUUUGGCCGUGCUGCAUGUCUUGCAGGAACUAGUUCCCCAACCAG
This is a long non-coding RNA of Balaenoptera ricei (Rice's whale), 2512 nucleotides long. RefSeq lists it as uncharacterized. The record is from RefSeq and is a predicted model, not a curated record. Lineage: Eukaryota; Metazoa; Chordata; Mammalia; Artiodactyla; Balaenopteridae. The transcript is spliced from 4 exons.